UCUACCCAGCUCUAUGGAAUAACUUCGGGAAACCGGAGCUAAUACCGUGUACGCCCUUCGGGGAAAGAUUUAUCGGAGUUGGAUGAGCCCGCGUUAGAUUAGCUAGUUGGUAGGGUAAUGGCCUACCAAGGCGACGAUCUAUAGCUGGUCUGAGAGGAUGAUCAGCCACACUGGGACUGAGACACGGCCCAGACUCCUACGGGAGGCAGCAGUGGGGAAUAUUGCACAAUGGGCGCAAGUGAUGCAGCCAUGCCGCGUGAGUGAUGAAGGCCCUAGGGUUGUAAAACUCUUUCAUCGGUGAAGAUAAUGACGGUAGCCGAAGAAGAAGUCCCGGCUAACUCCGUGCCAGCAGCCGCGGUAAUACGGAGGGGACUAGCGUUGUUCGGAAUUACUGGGCGUAAAGCGCGCGUAGGGGACUGGUCAGUUGGGGGUGAAAUCCCGAGGCUCAACCUCGAACUGCCUUCAAUACUGCCAGUCUUGAGUUCGGAAGAGGUGAGUGGAAUUCCUAGUGUAGAGGUGA
Molecule: ribosomal RNA, 520 nt
Filed under: uncultured bacterium
Lineage: Bacteria
Description: bacterial SSU rRNA
Rfam family: Bacterial small subunit ribosomal RNA
Source: RNAcentral